CGGGUGAGUAAUGCAUCGGAACGUGUCCAUGUCGUGGGGGAUAGCCCGGCGAAAGCCGGAUUAAUACCGCAUACGACCUGAGGGUGAAAGUGGGGGAUCGCAAGACCUCACGCGAAUGGAGCGGCCGAUGUCCGAUUAGCUAGUUGGUGGGGUAAAGGCCUACCAAGGCGACGAUCGGUAGCUGGUCUGAGAGGACGAUCAGCCACACUGGGAUUGAGAACGGCCCAG
This 228-nucleotide ribosomal RNA is filed under the name uncultured bacterium. RNAcentral describes it as "partial 16S ribosomal RNA". It matches the Rfam family "Bacterial small subunit ribosomal RNA", at positions 103 to 334 of the family's 1533-position model. The record is from RNAcentral.